UCUAGACCCACUGCGUCAUAAAUUGGCCCAUAAUGGGCUUAUAAUAACUCGGUAGGCUGUAAAUGGUACCAAACAGGUCGACCAUUGUUUGACCCGUGCUGUAUGGGAUCAGUCUUUACUUCAGUAAAUUAGGACUGAAGCCUACUCAAAAAUUGGAGCUGCUUAAGCAUUUUAUCAUUUUGCAUUAUUUGUACCGGUUAACCGUCGACCCACUUUCUCAGGGCGACUUAUUAGGGUUGGACAAGGCUCUUCGCAACUUUGUAAAGAAAAUCUUCCACCUCCCUUACUCCACCGGCUCUGCUUUUCUACACACCUCCCCGGAAAACGGAGGACUUAGCCUACCGCUAUUGGAACGAGUGGCUAUCUACUCCUUUCUUAGAUCGAUGGUCAGAUGUCGAGACUCCGGCGACCCCAUUUUGGAGGCAUUGUGGGAACAGAACAAUGUUGGUAACAAAGUUACCAAAAUGGAAUAUCUUGCAAGCAUUAGAGGUCCCCUCACCAUCGGAGCCAUAGAAAGUGCGAAAAGAGGAGCAAUCGAGGAUGAGUUUAGAAAUGGGCGAGUAUCGCGACCCAAGGACUAGAAAAGACCGAAUUGGAAAUUCCUGGCUCUGGAGGCCACACCUUCUAAAGGGCAACUCACGUUAUAUCGAUGCUGUUCGCAACCGGGUGCAAAGCAGCCCUUGCUAGAGCAACACCCAUGAACGACAUAAAAUGCCGGCGGAGUCACUCUGUCAAUGAGACCCUUGGACAUGUGCUGGGCUAGUAUUCUUUUGUUAAGCCGCAGAGAAUACAUAGAGACAACGAAAUCUUAUGUCGGAAUGAUUUUAUCGACAAAUACCCUGCCGGACAAUAUAUGAACGAAGCCACGUUUACUAUUGACGGGAAAAAGCUUAGGACCUAUAAUAGUUCUCUGGAGCGGCGAUUGGUCAUAUAUUGUCGAUAUUACUGCCAGAUUUGAGCAGGGCAAUUUUCUCGGCAAAGCCCACUCAAAAAAAAUCCUAAAAUAUGAGUGCCUCUACCCAGAGGUAAUCAAGGUCACGGGCACUACACACUGUCGUGUUCUCCUGAUAGUUGUUGGGUCUCGUGGCGCCCUACCCCCAAAAACCCUAUUUAACAUAUCCCUGCUUUCCAAACAUCUCAAAGCACAGGUCUAACCUUGUCCCUCGUUGCCCUAAGAACAUCGAUCGAGAUGAGCAAUAGGUUCCUUGACGGAUAGUGUGCGGUGUUGGCAGUCUCUACACCACUACACAUGGACUACGAUUUCUACUGUCGGAGCUAAGGGUUUCAAUGAUUCCCAAUAUACUUAUUUAAUGAUUCCCAAAUAGCGUAGAAGGACAGUCACAGGAAGCACAUUUGUGAUGUCUGUAGUGUCCCAUUUACGUUUUGUGUAGCUCUUCUGGCUUGUGAGGCAUUUGACAGGUUAUUGUCUCCUUCCCUUGUUUUCCUUUGUUAUUCUAUAAUAGCCUGUCAAAGGCAGCAGACCUUCACGCAAUACGCCGCGGACGGUUCUCGAUCGCACUGCAUCCCUACGGGGAUUCAGGACGAUCGGUGGCUGACUAAACUCUGAUGUUCCCUGGAAAGUAGGUUGCGGAUAGACCUACGAGGAAUCCUCUACAUCAGUGUUGAAUUGGACCGGUAGCAAUCCGCGUUGCUGCUACUCGGUCUCCAUCACUGAUGGUUUUUCCAUGCCUGAGCCAGCGGUGGCCUCGGUGGGAAGUGAGUGGUGCCCGUGGGAGAGACUCGUUAAUCCUGCGUUACUAUAGCUCAUGGUGAAACCGCGGCUGUUAUGGUGUUUUUUGUCUUUUGACAUAGCACUCUAGUCUCGAAAAAAUCAUGCGCUAAUAAAUCGCGACUGGUUGAAUACCAGAAAGUAUCACAACACUGGGACAGAUUUAUCCAAAUGCCUUGUCAUCUAACCAACGACGCGCAUGAACGGAUUAACGGGAUUCCCACUGUCCCUAUCUACUUUCUAGCAAAACCACUGCCAUGGAACGGGCUUGGAAAAAUUAGCGGAGAAAGAAGACCCUCUUGAGCAUGAUUCUAGUCUGGCAUUGUAAGGAGACAUGAAAGGUGGAGCUUAAGUGGGAGAUAGCAAUAUCGUCGGUGAAAUGUCACUACUUUCAUAGUUUCUUUACUUACUCGAUUGGGCAAAAAGCGUCCGUAAAGAACUUGCGGUCCGACUGUCACGGUUUUCUAGAGCAAAGCGCAUAAGAGUGGUGUGAGGCUUUGCGCCGAUCGCCAACAAUCCGAUAGCGUGAUCCGAUUCGAGGCAAUUGCUAGGCGGGGAGUUUGACUGAGGCGGUACAUCUGUCGAAUAAUAAAGCAUGUGUCCUAAGGCCAGCUCAGCGAGAACAGAAACCUCGGGUAGAGCAAAAGGGCAAAUGCUGGCUUGAUCCCGUUGUUCAGUGUGCACAGGGACCGCGAAAGCCUGUGGCCGUGGCCUAUCGAUCCUUUUGACUUGAAGAGUUUUUAGCAAGAGGUGUCAGAAAAGUUACCACAGUCAAGUAUCCCUAUUUUUGGCAGCCAAGCGACGUUGCUUUUUGAUCUUCCGAUGUCGGCUCCUUCUGUCAUUUUGAAGCAGAAUUCGCUAAGCGUUGGUUCACCCACAAAUAGGAAACGUGAGCUGGGUUUAGACCGUCGUGAGACAGGUUAGUUUUACCCUACUGAUAAAUCGUAGUUGUGAUAGUUAUCCUGCUCAGUACGAGAGGAACCGCAGGUUCGGACAUUUGGUUCACGCACGCAGUCGAUCGGCCAUUGGUGCGAAGCUACCAUCCGUGGGAUUAUGCCUCAACGCCUCUAAGGCCGUAAAUUUUCUAGACAAAGUAAGCAACGAUAUCUCUGGGAGUCUUGUGAGUCAAAAGGCUCAAUACAAUGUGAUUUAUUAGGUAUUCAGCACGUCGUUUAUCGCACGAGUCUUUUUUAGCCGAAAGAGGCGCUG
Molecule: ribosomal RNA, 2938 nt
Filed under: Ctenocephalides felis (cat flea)
Lineage: Eukaryota; Metazoa; Arthropoda; Insecta; Siphonaptera; Pulicidae
Description: eukaryotic LSU rRNA
Rfam family: Eukaryotic large subunit ribosomal RNA (bases 1575-2938)
Source: RNAcentral